GUCCAGGUAGCUCAGUUGGUUAGAGCACAAGACUGAAAAUCUUGGUGUCAGUGGUUCAACUCCACUCUUGGACA
RNAcentral lists this transfer RNA (74 nucleotides) under Monomastix sp. OKE-1. RNAcentral describes it as "tRNA-Phe". It matches the Rfam family "tRNA". Rfam says of the family: Transfer RNA (tRNA) molecules are approximately 80 nucleotides in length. The record is from RNAcentral. Lineage: Eukaryota; Viridiplantae; Chlorophyta; Mamiellophyceae; Monomastigales; Monomastigaceae.